This 500-nucleotide ribosomal RNA is filed under the name uncultured bacterium. RNAcentral's name for it is "partial 16S ribosomal RNA". It matches the Rfam family "Bacterial small subunit ribosomal RNA", at positions 30 to 523 of the family's 1533-position model. The record is from RNAcentral.
AUUGAACGCUGGCGGCAUGCCUUACACAUGCAAGUCGAACGGCAGCACGGGAGCAAUCCUGGUGGCGAGUGGCGAACGGGUGAGUAAUAUAUCGGAACGUGCCCAGUCGUGGGGGAUAACGCAGCGAAAGAUGUGCUAAUACCGCAUAAGAUCUACGGAUGAAAGCGGGGGAUCGCAAGACCUCGCGCGAUUGGAGCGGGCGAUAUCAGAUUAGCUAGUUGGUGGGGUAAAGGCCCACCAAGGCGACGAUCUGUAGCUGGUCUGAGAGGAAGGCCAGCCACACUGGAACUGAGACACGGUCCAGACUCCUACGGGAGGCAGCAGUGGGGAAUUUUGGACAAUGGGCGCAAGCCUGAUCCAGCAAUGCCGCGUGCAGGAUGAAGGCCUUCGGGUUGUAAACUGCUUUUGUACGGAACGAAACGGCCCUUUCUAAUACAGGGGGCUAAUGACGGUACCGUAAGAAUAAGCACCGGCUAACUACGUGCCAGCCGCCGCAGUAA